CGAACGCUGGCGGCAUGCCUAACACAUGCAAGUCGAACGAGACCUUCGGGUCUAGUGGCGGACGGGUGAGUAACGCGUGGGAACCUGCACUUCAGUGGGGGAUAACGACGGGAAACUGUCGCUAAUACCGCAUACGCCCUCAGGGGGAAAGAUUUAUCGCUGAAGGAUGGGCCCGCGUCGGAUUAGCUAGUUGGUGAGGUAACCGCCCACCAAGGCGACGAUCCGUAGCUGGUCUAAGAGGAUGAUCAGCCACACUGGGACUGAGACACGGCCCAGACUCCUACGGGAGGCAGCAGUGGGGGAAUAUUGGGCAGUGGGCGAAAGCCUGACCCAGCGACGCCGCGUGAGGGAUGAAGGUCUUCGGAUUGUAAACCUCUUUCAGUAGGGAAGAAGCGAAAGUGACGGUACCUAAAGAAGAAGCACCGGCUAACUAUGUGCCAGCAGCCGCGGUAAUCUGAUGGCGCGAGG
This 468-nucleotide ribosomal RNA is filed under the name uncultured bacterium. Its description in RNAcentral is "bacterial SSU rRNA". It matches the Rfam family "Bacterial small subunit ribosomal RNA", at positions 36 to 538 of the family's 1533-position model. The record is from RNAcentral.